RNAcentral lists this transfer RNA (73 nucleotides) under Candidatus Bathyarchaeota archaeon. Its description in RNAcentral is "tRNA-Cys". It matches the Rfam family "tRNA". Rfam says of the family: Transfer RNA (tRNA) molecules are approximately 80 nucleotides in length. Their secondary structure includes four short double-helical elements and three loops (D, anti-codon, and T loops). Lineage: Archaea; Thermoproteati; Candidatus Bathyarchaeota. RNAcentral also lists the same sequence under 1 other name. The record is from RNAcentral.
GCCGGGGUGGCCGAAUGGUUCAGGCGGCGGGCUGCAGACCCGCAGAAUGUGGGUUCAAUUCCCACCCCCGGCU